RNAcentral lists this transfer RNA (85 nucleotides) under Felis catus (domestic cat). It matches the Rfam family "tRNA". From Rfam's summary of the family: Transfer RNA (tRNA) molecules are approximately 80 nucleotides in length. Their secondary structure includes four short double-helical elements and three loops (D, anti-codon, and T loops). Lineage: Eukaryota; Metazoa; Chordata; Mammalia; Carnivora; Felidae. The record is from Rfam by way of RNAcentral.
GCCUGGGUGGCUCAGUCAGUUAAGCAUCUGACUUCGGCUCAGGUCAUGAUCACAUGGUCUGUGGGUUCAAGCCCCGCGUCGGGCU